Molecule: long non-coding RNA, 804 nt
Organism: Herpailurus yagouaroundi (jaguarundi)
Lineage: Eukaryota; Metazoa; Chordata; Mammalia; Carnivora; Felidae
Exons: 3
Source: RefSeq, a predicted model, not a curated record
AUGACUCUUGAUCUUGGGGCUGUGAUCCCGAGCCCGUGUUGGGUAUAGAGAUCACUAAAAAAAUAAAUAAAAUUAAAAAUUAAAAAAAAAAAUCCCCAAAAUGAAAUCUCUAGUCCCAGGUGGUUUCACUGGAAAUUCUACCAAACAAAGAAAUUUAAUACCAACUACCCAGUCUUUUCCAGAAGUGAACACUUCUUAAUUCACUUUAUAAAGCUAGUAUUCUCCUGCUGCAGAGCCAAAGACAAUGCAAAAAAUAUCCCUCAUGAAUAUGCAUGCAAAGAGAUCCUUGAUGAAAUAUUAGCAAAACGAAUUCAGCAAUAUAUAAAACAUACAGUGGUUGCCAGGGACUGAAGAGGGGAUGGGCUGUGAGAGCACUGGAUGUGAAUGUAAGAGAGGGAUCCUUGUGGUGAUGGAAAUGUGUACCUUGACUGUACCUUGUGUUACUGUCCUAUAGUUUCUAUAGCCUCCCCAGUAGUUUCUAUGGGGGGUUUCUCUGUAUAAUUCGUACAGCUGCGUGUGAUCUAUAUAUUGUUUAAAAAUAAAAAGUUUAACUUGAAAAAGUCAUUACUGAGUGGGUCCAGCUCCAGGAUUGGGGCUUUGGGCCCCUAACAGAGUGUGCACCCAAGCAGCUGCUGCCUCCCAUUUCUCCUGAGCUAAGGCGAGAGGGGUCUUGACUCACCUGACACAGGAUCAUCUUGGCCCCAUUUGGCCAACGGGAGCCCAGGGCAGUUAGGAGUCCCCUUCCGAGAGGCAGACGACCCUGCCUGCUCUUAUUUGAUUUCUCAGACCUCUUCUGUGGGUUCU